RNAcentral lists this ribosomal RNA (378 nucleotides) under uncultured bacterium. RNAcentral describes it as "bacterial SSU rRNA". It matches the Rfam family "Bacterial small subunit ribosomal RNA", at positions 362 to 758 of the family's 1533-position model. The record is from RNAcentral.
UAUUGGCCAAUGGGCGAAAGCCUGAUCCAGCAAUGCCGCGUGAGUGAUGAAGGCCUUAGGGUUGUAAAGCUCUUUUACCCGGGAUGAUAAUGACAGUACCGGGAGAAUAAGCUCCGGCUAACUCCGUGCCAGCAGCCGCGGUAAUACGGAGGGAGCUAGCGUUGUUCGGAAUUACUGGGCGUAAAGCGCACGUAGGCGGCUUUGUAAGUUAGAGGUGAAAGCCUGGAGCUCAACUCCAGAAUUGCCUUUGAUACUGCAUCGCUUGAAUCCAGGAGAGGUGAGUGGAAUUCCGAGUGUAGAGGUGAAAUUCGUAGAUAUUCGGAAGAACACCAGUGGCGAAGGCGGCUCACUGGACUGGUAUUGACGCUGAGGGCGAAA